Molecule: transfer RNA, 64 nt
Filed under: Bostrichoidea sp. 1 KM-2017
Lineage: Eukaryota; Metazoa; Arthropoda; Insecta; Coleoptera
Description: tRNA-Leu
Rfam family: tRNA
About the family: Transfer RNA (tRNA) molecules are approximately 80 nucleotides in length. Their secondary structure includes four short double-helical elements and three loops (D, anti-codon, and T loops).
Source: RNAcentral
UUUAUUAUGGCAGAAUAGUGCAAUAGAUUUAAGAUCUAUAAAUAAAGUUUAACUUUUAAUAAAA